GAUGAACGCUGGCGGCGUGCCUAAUACAUGCAAGUCGAGCGAACAGAUGAGGAGCUUGCUCCUCUGACGUUAGCGGCGGACGGGUGAGUAACGCGUGGAUAACCUACCUAUAAGACUGGGAUAACUUCGGGAAACCGGAGCUAAUACCGGAUAAUAUAUUGAACCGCAUGGUUCAAUAGUGAAAGACGGUUUUGCUGUCACUUAUAGAUGGAUCCGCGCCGCAUUAGCUAGUUGGUAAGGUAACGGCUUACCAAGGCAACGAUGCGUAGCCGACCUGAGAGGGUGAUCGGCCACACUGGAACUGAGACACGGUCCAGACUCCUACGGGAGGCAGCAGUAGGGAAUCUUCCGAAAAGGGCGAAAGCCUGACGGAGCAACGCCGCGUGAGUGAUGAAGGUCUUCGGAUCGUAAAACUCUGUUAUUAGGGAAGAACAAAUGUGUAAGUAACUAUGCACGUCUUGACGGUACCUAAUCAGAAAGCCACGGCUAACUACGUG
Molecule: ribosomal RNA, 497 nt
Filed under: uncultured bacterium
Lineage: Bacteria
Description: partial 16S ribosomal RNA
Rfam family: Bacterial small subunit ribosomal RNA
Source: RNAcentral